Molecule: ribosomal RNA, 264 nt
Filed under: Clostridioides difficile
Lineage: Bacteria; Bacillati; Bacillota; Clostridia; Peptostreptococcales; Peptostreptococcaceae
Description: partial 16S ribosomal RNA
Rfam family: Bacterial small subunit ribosomal RNA
Source: RNAcentral
GCCCUAGGGCCACACACGCGCUCCAAUGGGCAGUGCAGAGGGUUGCCAAGCCGUAAGGCGGAGCUAAUCCCUUAAAGCUACUCUCAGUUCGGAUUGUAGGCUGAAACUCGCCUACAUGAAGCUGGAGUUACUAGUAAUCGCAGAGCAGAAUGCUGCGGUGAAUGCGUUCCCGGGUCUUGUACACACCGCCCGUCACACCACGGGAGUUGGAGACGCCCGAAGCCGAUUAUCUAACCUUUUGGAAGAAGUCGUCGAAGGUGGAAU